RNAcentral lists this long non-coding RNA (1321 nucleotides) under Zostera marina. RNAcentral's name for it is "long non-coding RNA (ZMAR_LNC005369)". The record is from RNAcentral. Lineage: Eukaryota; Viridiplantae; Streptophyta; Magnoliopsida; Alismatales; Zosteraceae.
UUUUUAUUUUGCUGAGUAGAUUAUCCCGGCAGCCUGGCCGUCAGAAAUUUGCUCGCGGGAAAUUUAUACCAGCGGCCUAGCCACCAGCAAUUUGCAUCAAUAAUCAGAAUCAAAAAAUUAUUACAGGCGGCCUAGGAUGAUACAUUCUGGCGACAUUACUUCUGACGAUGAUAUACCGACGGCUGGGCCGCUAGGACACCUAAUAUCGGCGGCCAGGCCGUCAGAACUACGUUGUUUUUCUGUAGUGAUUGUCAAUUUUCAGACUUAACAUCAGUUAAUAAAAACAGAAUUUUAUCAACUAAAACAGAAAAUAUAAAAACUAAGAAACUCAUACUCAUGACUCCCUAAUCCCUCGGUCGAUGUCAAAAAAAACUCCACUUCUCCUUCUCAAAAUAGUAUAAACUCACUAUAUUUUAGAUUUAAAUCAUCACAUACUAAUACUCCCGACAACUCUGGAAUACUAAAAAACAACGAAUCAAAAUAAUCGGCAAUACUCGAGAAACAAACACAAUCAUUUUCAAUCACGAAAAUAAGAUAAUAAUACUACGGAAUCCCCAAAGAAUUAGUUGUCGAAUCAAUCACAAAAAUAUCUAAAUCAUGACAAUAACACCCAACUUGAAAUCUCUGAAAAAUUGGUAAACUUAAAUUAAAUCCAGCAAGUUUAUUUCAACAUAAACUGCAACACAAAAACAAGCAAAAGAACCCAACUCUAAUAUCUGAAUAUUAUCAGAUUUGCAGGAAUGAUCAUAUUCUAAUAAACCUAUCAAUUCCAUCUUCAAUGGACAUCUAUGUAUCACUUCUUGAACUGUUUAAAAUCAAUCACAAAAUAUCUAAAACCUUUAAAAUCAGGACACGAACACCCACCUUUAAAUCUCUGAAAAUUGAUAAACAUAGAUUAAAUCCAGCAAGUUUAUUUCGACAUAAAAUGCAACACAAAACAAACAAAAAGAACCCAACUCUAAUGUCUGAAUAUUAUCAGAUUUGCAGGAAUAACCAUACUCUGAUCAACCUAUCAAUCUCAUCUUAAAUGGAUAUCUAUGUAUCACUUCUUGAACUGUUGCAUUUAACACAUAACUUAGGAUAUCUAAGCCAUAACCUAAUCAUAUAAUGUUUCUAUUUCUAUCUAUCAAUGGAAUCAUAGUACUUUAACCCUAAAGAUUUACAGAAAAAUCAUAAGAACAGAUUUUAAAACUCAUACCUUAUUGAUCAACUCACAACCUCCACACCAAGAUUGAAAUCCCCCUUUGACAGAUGGAUUUCUUUCCUUUCCUUCUUUUCUCUUCUUUUCUUUCUCACCCGUUCCUCUCCUCCUAAACCUCUA